UGGGGAAUAUUGGACAAUGGGCGAAAGCCUGAUCCAGCCAUGCCGCGUGUGUGAAGAAGGUCUUCGGAUUGUAAAGCACUUUAAGUUGGGAGGAAGGGCAGUAAGCGAAUACCUUGCUGUUUUGACGUUACCGACAGAAUAAGCACCGGCUAACUCUGUGCCAGCAGCCGCGGUAAUACAGAGGGUGCAAGCGUUAAUCGGAAUUACUGGGCGUAAAGCGCGCGUAGGUGGUUCGUUAAGUUGAAUGUGAAAGCCCCGGGCUCAACCUGGGAACUGCAUCCAAAACUGGCGAGCUAGAGUAGGGCAGAGGGUGGUGGAAUUUCCUGUGUAGCGGUGAAAUGCGAAGAUAUAGGAAGGAACACCAGUGGCGAAGGCGACCACCUGGGCUCAUACUGACACUGAGGUGCGAAAGCGUGGGGAGCAAACAGG
Molecule: ribosomal RNA, 429 nt
Filed under: Pseudomonadota bacterium
Lineage: Bacteria; Pseudomonadati; Pseudomonadota
Description: Proteobacteria bacterium partial 16S ribosomal RNA
Rfam family: Bacterial small subunit ribosomal RNA
Source: RNAcentral